UGAGGAUGAGGAUUUUCAGAGUGGAUUUUGUGAGAUUUUUUUGUUUUUUUCAGAGUGAGGUGUUGUGAGGUAUUUGAGUGGAGGGAGCGUGAGAUAAAGAGAGAGAGGACACGUGGAGGGAAGAGAGAGGGUGGAGAAUGUAACGUGUGUGUGAGGGAAGAGAGAGAUCUUUUUUCAGAUUUUGUGAGGUGAAUGGAUGAGGUUGAGGGACACAUGGCGAAUAGAGAGGAGAAAGACGUUGGAAUGAAUCUCCAAUGGAUUCUUAUUAUUUAUUUAUUUAUUUUUUUUAUUUUUUUUUUAUUUUAAGAAAAGAGAAUCCAAUGCUAAUAUUUUUUAAUACACUUAUAAUUCACUUAAAUACAUAAAACAUUAAUUGAAAAAACUAAUUAACAUUUGAUUUAAAUAAAUUUUAACUAUUN
RNAcentral lists this long non-coding RNA (419 nucleotides) under Lathyrus oleraceus (garden pea). RNAcentral describes it as "Pisum sativum (pea) long non-coding RNA (PSAT_LNC012820)". Lineage: Eukaryota; Viridiplantae; Streptophyta; Magnoliopsida; Fabales; Fabaceae. The record is from RNAcentral.